CUGUAAGCUAGCUCGUCUGCUGCAUUUAACUCCUCAUAAGAGAAGGUUCCUAUAUAUAGAUGCAGCAGUCUCAAGUUGCCACAUUCUACAAGGUUUUCUUUGGCAAACUCCACUUCCAGAACCUCCUGUUAUGAGGAUACAAACAUCCAUGCCACCACCACCACCAGUCUUCAGGCAACCGCAAGAACAGUAUGCUCCCAGGCAUGAGCAUGGUUGGAUGGCUUCAGAUGAGG
Long non-coding RNA from Bombina bombina (fire-bellied toad), 233 nucleotides. RefSeq lists it as uncharacterized. The record is from RefSeq and is a predicted model, not a curated record. The transcript has 3 exons. NCBI's taxonomy places the organism in Eukaryota, Metazoa, Chordata, Amphibia, Anura, Bombinatoridae.